AUUGAACGCUGGCGGCAGGCCUAACACAUGCAAGUCGAGCGGAUGAAGGGAGCUUGCUCCUGGAUUCAGCGGCGGACGGGUGAGUAAUGCCUAGGAAUCUGCCUGGUAGUGGGGGAUAACGUCCGGAAACGGGCGCUAAUACCGCAUACGUCCUGAGGGAGAAAGUGGGGGAUCUUCGGACCUCACGCUAUCAGAUGAGCCUAGGUCGGAUUAGCUAGUUGGUGGGGUAAAGGCCUACCAAGGCGACGAUCCGUAACUGGUCUGAGAGGAUGGUCAGUCACACUGGAGCUGGGACACGGUCCAGACUACUACGGGAGGCAGCAGUGGGGAAUAUUGGACAAUGGGCGAAAGCCUGAUCCAGCCAUGCCGCGUGUGUGAAGAAGGUCUUCGGAUUGUAAAGCACUUUAAGUUGGGAGGAAGGGCAGUAAGUUAAUACCUUGCUGUUUUGACGUUACCAACAGAAUAAGCACCGGCUAACUUCGUG
This 484-nucleotide ribosomal RNA is filed under the name uncultured bacterium. Its description in RNAcentral is "partial 16S ribosomal RNA". It matches the Rfam family "Bacterial small subunit ribosomal RNA", at positions 30 to 507 of the family's 1533-position model. The record is from RNAcentral.